UCCCGUGUGGCCUAAUGGAUAAGGCAUCGGCCUCCUAAGCUGGGGACUGUGGGUUCCAGUCCCACCAGGAGUA
RNAcentral lists this transfer RNA (73 nucleotides) under Bombyx mori (domestic silkworm). It matches the Rfam family "tRNA". From Rfam's summary of the family: Transfer RNA (tRNA) molecules are approximately 80 nucleotides in length. Their secondary structure includes four short double-helical elements and three loops (D, anti-codon, and T loops). The record is from Rfam by way of RNAcentral. Lineage: Eukaryota; Metazoa; Arthropoda; Insecta; Lepidoptera; Bombycidae.